This is a non-coding RNA of Oryctolagus cuniculus (rabbit), 892 nucleotides long. The record is from RefSeq and is a predicted model, not a curated record. Lineage: Eukaryota; Metazoa; Chordata; Mammalia; Lagomorpha; Leporidae.
AGAAACAGCCCUCCCCUCCCCCUCCUCCUCCCCUCCCGCCCACCAAUAGGAAGUCGGCUGCUGGUUUCCAUGGUGAUGGCGAUGAACUGGUGGGCUGGACCGGCUGGCAGGGCCGGGACAGAGGGAAGAGCAGGUUCCUCGCGGGAUGCCAGCCCAGCACCCGCCACGGUGGCCUCCCCGGCCAUCGUCCCCACACACCCUGGUGCCUUCCAAGGGUGGGACUGGCGAACACAGACAUAGGGGCGGGUGUGACCGACACCGAGCCGCACAGAAGGGCAGGACGGAGAAAGACAGGAGCUGAGGGCACGGGACCUCCGUGCAGUGGAGACAGACGCUGGAGAGGGUGUGACAGACACCGAGCCAUACUUUUUCCUUGCUACAGUAAAUCAUCUCUAGAUUACUCAUACUGCCUAUGCUUCUUAGUCGUUAUACUGCAUAAGGGAUAAGAAAAAAGGCUGUAAAUGUUCAGUACAUGUGGAUUUCUAAAAGCUAUUUUCCUUAAAACCUGUAGACAAGGAGGGUCAAUUGUGUAUGUGUGUGUGUGCGUGUAUGUAUAUCCCCCAUAUAUGCAUGGUGAUACACUUGUAUGCAUCCUCAUGUAUCUACCUCAUAUUUAUCACAUCUGAAUGUCACCAUACAUGUAUGUGAGUGAAGCUUAUUAUGUGAAUGUCACUUUGUAUCUGUAUGCUUUUAUAUGCGAUAUGUGUCACAUUUAUGUCAUUGCAGGUGUACUUCAAGAAGUUCAUGACAAAUUAAAUUAAAAGGCUUUAUUUUACUGCAAAUCCAUGUGUACUCUCUGCUUAAUACAUAUUCCCCACAAACUCUUUGAUGCCCCCUCAGAGGCAUCAUUUCAAAAUUGUUUGCAUCAAAAUAAACUUAUUUUUUAAUUCCA